CUGCCUCUGAGUGCUGGGAUUAAAGGCAUGUGCCACCCUGGUCCAGCUUGAUAGGUUGGUUGUUUUGUCAAGUUGCUUCAGAGACAAUUUCAAAAACAACUUUUGCACUAAAAUGACAUGGUGUUCCAGGUGAUGCUUCAUCAUUGAACUUAUAAAAGCAUAAUAUUUUUAAUGCAAUUUUCAAAUUAUUCAAAGUACUGAUUUUCUAGUUUAUUACCCUUUAAGCUACACAAUUUGACUCCUUCUUCUAGAGACACCACACAGACAGCCAAGGAAACCAAUGAGUAUCUGACUGAGCCCGAACAGGAGCUCAAGGAUUCCAACAAGCAGGAGACCGAGAAAUACUGAGAAGUGGAAAAUCCUAUGUCUGUCUUCUUCAGAGUUAGAGUUUGGUAUGCUCCAGUUAUUGAUGAUGUCACUGAUGCUGGAGUUUUUUAAACCAGUAGGAGAAACACAAGAGUCUUGGAAGAACCACUGCAGACUGAAGGAUUCAGGAUGGAAGUCACUGGGGGGAAAAAGAGAAGGACUAAAUGUGCCUGUUAACAAAAUGAAAGCCCCAGCAUGGUAAGACCCAGUGUACAGUUUUAAAGAUUGUGUUCAGAAACCGUAGCUAAGAUCUGGUUUUCUGAGCACAUAAGCAUAGCCCUGAUCUUAAAACCCUUACUCAUCACACAUUGUAUCAUUCUCCAUAGAACACCUAAUCUUAAGGUGAACUACAUAAGAUGCAUGCUCUCCCAUGUCAGGAUGAAGAUAAAGAUCAACUAUGUCAGCAUGCUCUUUUUCUCGAUGCCAAGGACAUUGUUGUUGCUGGGAUGGCCUGUAAAGAACGUCACAAGAAUGAUGAGUACUCUUUCUUCUCACCAGACGCAAACCCAGUCAUCACCACCUUCCAUUUACUACCCUUUGGAGAAGUUCAGGGUUCAGGAGAGCAAAAUCUUCUUGAUUUCAGGAGAGGGAAUCUGUCAGUGUCCAUGUGUCGUGAACCUUAUCCCCGGUUUCAACCAUAAGGAUUGAAAGGGUACAGAGAAGGCCAGCCCUGCUCAACUCUGAGGGAACCUUCUGGAAGACUGGAUGUGGGCUUGAUGCUUGGCUGUUGUUCACACUGCUCAGCCUGGAACCUGGCACAGCAGUUUGAAGAGGAAGCCCAGAUUUUAUGAAAAGCUUUUCCUGUGCCUGUGUCUACCUGAAACAGAUGGCUGGAUCACUCCUGUUGGCAGAGGAAAAGAAACCAUCAGCCUGUGGGGAAGAUUUUUUUGAAUGGCUUUGCCAUGCCAGAUAGGUUCAAAGGGCACCAUUUUUCUUGUU
Long non-coding RNA from Onychomys torridus (southern grasshopper mouse), 1305 nucleotides. RefSeq lists it as uncharacterized. NCBI's taxonomy places the organism in Eukaryota, Metazoa, Chordata, Mammalia, Rodentia, Cricetidae. The record is from RefSeq and is a predicted model, not a curated record. The transcript has 3 exons.